AAAGAACAGAAUUUAUACUGAGUAGAUGUUACGUAUCAGCUAGAGUUUUAUAUAUUGUAGAAUCUCCCUCCAUGAUUGGGAAAUGCUCGAGUGGGGUUUAAGCAUUCACAUGGUAAUACAUGUCGCAGAAUAUAAGUGUAUAGGUUAAUUGUGCAAGUCGUCAAAGAAACCGUAGGAUAAAAUAACAAGCCGAUAAGAAAUUCUAUAUUGUUAAUUCUGCUAAUACACAUUUCAACAAAACGAGAGCUUUGCGCAUAAUUAAGGAGGGCGGGUGGUAAAAACGGAAAAAAUAGUUUACAAGAAGCAAUCCGUAAAAAAUGACCAAUCAUGUAUCUUGGUUGAUCGUUCUUGAAGCUUGUCUUAUCAAUAAAGUGCAAUAGAAGAUGAAGAAGAGUGUAUUUCAUGUAUUCCAAUGUAAGGAACGUGCGUGUAAUUUUAUUCUGUGCGUGCGCAAUGAUUCUUUUUAGUCAAAAAGAAGCGAGAACCGAGAACACGUUCCAAAUCGUAGAGCAGCCUGAUACAAUGUCACUGACACAGCUGAAUGCGAGAUAUGCGUAAAUUGAAUGACAUUUGGGGGAAAUGAACAAAUUUAUACACUUGUCAGUUAAUUCCAGAAAUAACUUCAAAGCUUAUUUUUACUGAUGCACUUAUAAAUAUGUAUGUGCAUAUCGUAAAAGGGAGAAAUAUCUGUGUCUAAAUUCAUCAUUAUUAUACUUUUCUUCUAUUUAUACACUAAUAGAUGCGUUAAUUAAAAACACAUCAAUACUUAGUCAUUCAACGUCACCGGUAUCAUGACGCUAUCGACUGACAAUAAAAUUAUGUCAAGUCACGAUUGAGAUUACAACCGUUUGUGAUAUUAUUACUCAUGUUCACUUCAAUGUUGCCAUAUACCCCGAUCUCACAUUCUGUUCAGUAUUUCUUGUGAAAUUAUCAUUUUUUUUAUUGUUCAGUUUAGUUAUACGAAAAGAAAAGAAAUAUUUUAUGUCGUUAAUUUUAAGAGUGAUAGUACAAUUCUUUCGGUCGACACUAGAAGGGUUAAUCAUUCAGGUGGAACAAAUUUCAGAUGGAGAAUUGCUAGAGAAACAGAGGCUCUCCCUCAUUUCUUAAGUUGAAACAGCACAUCAAUUUUUCGUGACUUGAAUGUCGGUUACAUAAUUUGUUUAUUCCAUAUUAAAGAACUAUUUUCUAUUUUCUUGAAAGGAAAGAGACGAGGCGUUGAAAUAUGGUGAAAAUAAACAUAUCGUUGAGCAAGAACUAUUUCAUUAUAAGUUCAUAACGGAAUGGAAUGUACAAUAUUGCAUGCGAAUAUCUCUUUUGUCCUUUUAAAAUUUAUCCAAUUCAUAAAUAUUCAUUUUACUUACAUAUGGAUAACAAAUAAUUAAAUAUUCGUCUCAUUUACACGUGUAUGUAGCAACAUAAAGGGGAAAAAUAAAUAUAUAUAGAAUUUUUAAGUAAAUAAUGUUUUAUUGUAUGUUUGCACGUUUACAUAUUAACGUUAGGUUACCAUCAUUACUUCUGUUAAUAGAAAUAUUAUUAUAUUAAAUAAAACUAAAUAGAAAUGUUUUCUAUCUGUUUAAUUUAGCUCUAUACUAUAUGUACAUAUAGGGAUUGUUCGAAAUCAUGGUACAAGCGGUCGGCUCGUAGGAAAUUAAUUGAUUGAAACAAAAAUUAAUUGAAACAAAAAAAUUAUAAUUUUUCUUUAAGGCUUUGUUUUUGAGAAAAAUGAGUUUUAAGAUGCGUCAGGUGUCCGUGUAUUAAUUGUAAGUUUCGAGAUAUCCGACCUCUUUUUCUGCUCGUGCUGAUAAUAAUAUAAUUAGAGCUAUAUGCAGCAUCGUGGUCAACAUUUUAAAUAAUUUUUACGUUAAUAAAACGAUUUUUAAAAAGAGAAACUCUCACCUCUAUUUAUGAAACUAUUCUCAGUGCGGACAUCGCGGAAAUAAGAUAACAGUAAUAUAGUAGGAAGCAAACGUGAAAUUAUCUAUGUUUAUAAAUAUAAACAGGAGCAGAAAAAGAAGUCGGAUAUCUUGAAACUUACAACUAAUACAGAUGCAGUAGGCGGAUCUUCGAAGAACCAAGGCCUUAAGGCUUUCGUUUAAACGAAACAAUGUUAUUUUUUCUUUUCUACUUACAUGUGCAUGUAGAAUAGCCACCCGACUGCUUGUAUCAUGAUUUCGGGGAUACGCUGUAUGUACAUACAUAUUAUAAUCAUACAGAUAUCCUACCACAGAUAUAAAGCGCAUUUCUUUUUAUCAACAUCUUUUGAUGAGCGUUUAAAGGUAUAAAAACGAAAUUUAUUUUUGUCUUUUAAUGUUUUCUCUGAUUUUCGUCUGCAUAUCUACAAAUAAUUCUGGCAAUGAGUAUUUCUUUAUAAUUCUAAUAAUUUUAUAUUUUAAUAUUUAUUUAUUUAUAGUUGUACUAAAUUAUUAGCAAUCUCAUUAAAUUACUAUGAUUCUUGUAAAUUGUUAGAUCUGAUAAGAACUACUUGAUCAUUGACAGUUAGCUACCGAUUAAGAAUUGGAACACUUAGCAUUAGUUCGUUUCAAAAAUGUCUAUUUCAAUGGGCGAGAAUGUAUUUCAUAUGCAGAUAUUUGGUCAAUAGACCAUUUCUCGAUGAGAUUUGUAUUAUGUCUCAAAAUACUAUACAUUUUGUCAAGUAUCGAGUAUUUUGUUAGUAAAAUAUACUUUUUAUGUAUUCUCUUGGAAAUUUAACGGGAACAAUAUAAAAAAGAUCGUUUUCAUUCAUUGAGAACUAAAUGUGUACACGUUAACAUAAGAUAGCCGUAUCUUACUUUAAAAUUUGAACGGUACCAAACGCUUUGUUGAAUGGCUUGCUGACUUCUCAACUAGACCGAUAUACUACUUACUGUACCCAAUAUUGUGAAUGGCGCUCUGCUCUUUGCGUAUUUUUGAAUGGCACCUUGCCAUUGACAAUGGUAGUUCUUAGAAAUAUAUACACGUAGUAUUAUUUUUUUCUACUUUAUAAUAUUUAUCAUAUUUAUUGUACUGUUACAUUGUAAUUCAUAGCAACUACAUAACUUAAUACGAUUUGAUUAAGGAUAAAAAAGAAAAUACUAAUAUGCAUAAUAAUUAUGACACUAAAAUGAUAUAUUUUAAUGUAUUAUGUUGCCUUGAUGUUUUCUCGAAAUAUUAUUAUAUUAAAUAAAACAAAUCUUUUCUUAUUUGAUAUUUGAGGAAAUUUCACUGUUCUUUAAAAAGAUUCAAUAGGAAUUAAUUCUUUAUUUAUUGUUUGUAGAAUCAUAUUCCAAUUUUUAGCAACGAUUAGAAUAGAAUAUAGGCAUAUUCUUCAAAAAUACAAGAAUAUUUUAACGAACAUCUAUUUUAACACAUCAUUUAGUAGCAUUUUUUGUUGUUGUGCAAUAAAAUAAAAUACUAAAAAUUAUAUGUGUAGAUAGGUUACUUAUAAUUAGUAUACAGAUAGAUUAAAAAAUAAAUAAAUUGAGAUAGGAAAUAAAAUAUUUAAUAUUUCAUAAAAAUAUUAAUGAACGAAAAAUGACUUACAAAAAGGUAUAAAUUUAUUGUCAGUAAUUAAAGUUAUUAUAAUUUUUAUAAAUCUAAUAUAUGAAUUCAAAAUAAUGUCGAUAAGUACUUGCUUCGUAAGCUUGAAUUGAUAUUUCUUUACGAACGAAUAUUUUAUGCAUGUUCUAAAUUUGUUACAUAAUAUAUUCACAUCGUGAUAACGCAGGAUAAAAUACUUAAGCAUUUUGGAAUGCACGAUGAAAUUGUGCAAAUACGAAAGAAUUAUGAGCAACCAAAAUGUUUAGAGUUUAGAAGCAUAACAUUUGAUUGUGCACGUUUGAAACUGUUGUACUGCAAGAGAUUUGUAUUUUACGAUAUUGAUAAUACUAGUAGUUUUAUCACUUUGCUAUAUAUCACGAUCAGAAUAAACAUUGUACGUUUCAUGUCAUGUAGAAGAAAGGAAUUGUUUUAACAAGUUGUAUAUAAUUUUGUUUUACUAACUAAAAUUUCUAUAUAGUAUAUAGUUUUGUUUUCAUUGAAAUUGGUUAUUAAGUAAUAUUUAAUUGGAAUUAUCUUAUUUGCCAAAAAGCAAUUGUUAUAUAUUGUUACAUAUGUAUGAUGAGACAAUUUGUUCGGAAUACCAAGAAUUAAUACAAAAUUAAAGGAUUUAUGUUUAUAUGAGAGUCAAGAAUGUAUUUUAAGCAAUCUCAGAAUACAAAAUCAUUGGUACGUGAAACAGAUUGAUGUAGGUAAUGGGUUAAAGACCUUGUUCAUUCAAAACGUUAACCUUCUUGUUAAAAAUACGAGUACAGCCAGCACGGAUAGGAUAGAGUGCUAUAAUUUUAAACUGCAAUUGCAAAAAAUUCCUCUCUUUUUUAUACAUAUUUUUGCUUUUACCAUAAAUUCUAAUAAAAUGUUGUGUGGUUCUGGACACAAGACAAAUUGUGUAUAAAUCAUCAUUUAUAAAAUUGAAUGCUAUCAUCCAAGUAACAAAAAUAAAUUACACAAUUCUGUGUGAACUUCUAUUCUUUAUAUGUUCAUCAAAAAUUUGCAGAUGUUAUUUUCAUCGUCAAACAAUUCAUAUUAUAUGAACAUAAUUAAAUACAAAAUUAAACCUAAACAGAUUGUUUCACUCGCUAGACUUAUUAUAACGAGUACGAAAUUUCUGAUAUUUUGUAUAUUUUUGUAUGUUAUAUGCAGUUGAAGAAUUUUCAUGCUUAAAAAUUGCCCAUGAAUGCAUGAAUACACGCAGUCUAUCAAUCAUUUAAAGUAUUAUUCAACAAUGCUGCUCAACCAUACGCUCAAUUCGCAUGCGCUCGUAAUUCGUAUUUUAUUGUCAGUUUACAUAAUUGAGAAUUUAUCGGCUGAAGUGAACUGAUUGUUUCGAGUUUAUCAUUAAUGUGUGUGAGAUUGCUUUUUUUACAAUGUUAACAAGACUUGGCAUGUAAUCUUAAUCGUGAAAACAAAAUAUAAACUAAUAAAUCGGUUAAAAUAUGAUGACAUUUUAACUGCAUUUGUCAAUAUGGAGAAAUAGGUCAAGGCAUUGUAAUACGUUAUCAUUUCACUAUAUUUUUAUUCUUACGUUUCAAUUAUGAUUACACGAAGAACCACCAAUUAUUAUUAUCAGUAAGAAGACAUUAAUUGGAAAUAAACAAGAGUUUAGGACGCAAGUGUCAAUAAGAAAUAUCGUUUCUUAUUUAUGUAUUUCGAAUUUCCAAGAUACAAUCAAAUGCUAAUUCUGUGAAAUUUUCAGUUAACAAUUAAGAAGAGUGCAAACGAAACUAAUAAGGUAUAGAUGGUAAAUGGUCAAUACUAAUGACUCAGGAAAGAAUUUUAUUUUUAUCGUGACAAUCAUCAGUUGCACAUAUCGAAAACAUUGCAUAACACAUUUAACAUUUAACAUGUUACAGUUUGAACUUAGUUAAACUAUUUAAAUUAGAAAUUAUUUAUUGUUAGUACUGAUGGACUUUUAUUUAUUUCGAUCACUGUAAAAUGCUACAAGACAUUAAAAUGUUAAUAGUCUUUGAAAACAUAGUUUCAGAAAAAAGUAGUUAGUAUAUUAUUCAUUAAUGAAUACGAUAAAGUAUAUAUAUAUUAGGAUUUUCAAGGUUACAUGCAUAUGUCGACAUUGUAUUAUUUAUGAAAUAGCGUAAUUCAUAAUGAUAGAAUUUACAAUUACUAACUGUUGCUUUCUUGGUAGAAAUGUUAGACGAUGUGAUAAGAAAUAUCUAUAAAAUAUUAGAAUACAAAGCAUCAAAUUAUUAUUCAGGGACUUGUAAGAUUAGGGAACAUAUAUGCACAUUGGCAAAUAGAAUGGAAAGGAAACUAUACACUAUACAACUAAUAUAUGUAUUUAAAUAAUUACGAAUUUUCAACUUAUAUUCAAAUAUUUAUGUCAAUCAAUUAUUUGCACGAUUUCUAGAAUGAAUCUUUAGUUAUUAAUUGAAAUGAAUCUUCUGACUGUAAAAUUUAAAAGCUUCAUGCAAUAAAACUUUAUUAUUAUUAAUUAAACUGCAAACUGCGAUGCCUAUAAAAUACUAUUUUAGGUUUUACGUGGAGAGUGUUAUUCUUAUGCGAUUAUACAAGACUUUUCGCAAUAUGUAUUUUGUAAGUGCUCUUGUAAAAUGUAAUUAAAUGAGAUGAGUUAAUCAGCAAAAUGUCUAUAAGUUGCUAUUAUAUACUAUUUGAAAGUAUAUAAUAAAUAAUUUCGUAUUAUUAAGCACAAAAAUAUGUAAAUAAAUGAAGAUUAUAUAAAAAAUUCUUACGUAAAACUGUAAAAUUUUUGACUCUCUUAGUCAAUAAAAUGUACCAUUAUAAAUAAAAUUCUUGAUAAAUUUCAUAUAUGCAAAAUAAUUCAAUGGAUAGUUAUCAAUAUAUUAUAUAUUAUAUUGCAUCGUAUUGCAUUGCAUUGCGUUGUAUUGUAUUGCAACGAACAAAUGAAAUAAAAAAUUCAAAUAAACAGUUAUUUUAAAUAUAAGCUAACGGUAUUUCAAAUAUAUUUCUUCUAUAUGACACAAAAUAUAUGUAUAUAAAAAUUUGUGAUUGUAAUUACAAAAAUUCUUAUAAGUAUGUAGGUGAUGUGGAAAAAUAAAAUGAAAUUUUGAAUAGAAGGUCAGUCUAAAUGUUAAGUUCCAGUGACAUUAAAAUUUUAAAUAAAACUUGGAGUUAAAAAAAUAAAACUACUGGAGUCCUUGAAUUUUCAUAUUCCAUUUCAUAUUUAAGAACACUUCUUUAACAUAAAAUUGAAACGAAAUGCAUGAGUGUUAAUAACAUUUGUGAAACUUAAGAAAUUCUUUAACAGCAGAAAAACAUGCUUGAGUUAUAAAAAGAAGCUAAAGAACGCAGCAGGAUCAAACACUAUAUUGUUUUCUUCAAUAGAGUAAAUUAACCGAUUAACGAGUCGUCAUUGACGACUCGUCAAACAAAUCGUACACUGUACCAUAUAACGUACGUAUAUUGUACAUUAUAUGGUGCUGUACGAAAAUAUUCGAAUACCAACCGUAAAAUAUUUUUAUGUUUAUAUUGUACGUGUCAGAUAAAUUCCGAAAUUUGAUCAAUACUGUAAUAAAAUACGAUUAUCGUGAUUACAUCGGUCAAAUUUGAAACCAAUAUAAAAAUUUAUACACAUGGAAGUUGAUGAAGAUGUUUUAAUCCUUCAAAUGCAGGUGUAUUUUGGCAAAUUGUUCCUUGGUAGCGUAAAAAAAUGACAAAGCAAAAUACAACACUAUUACCAAUAAAAUACAUGCCAAUAAUUUUAUUUUGAAUCCAAUUUUCUCAUUUUGAGAUAUAAGCUUCUACGAACUUUCACACAUAAAUACACACGCUAGCUAACACAUAUAUUAUAUAUUAUAUUAUUAUAUUUAUUCUAUCCAUGUCUUUCGGCUUCGGAUGACUUCCAGUUACAUCCUCAUUUACGUCUUUACCUACAUUCUAUCUGAGAGUUCUACAAACUAAUUGUCUUAUACAGUCGAAGUUUUAGUAACUUGAACCUCAAGGGAAGAACUAAAAUCUUCGAGUUACAGAGGUUUCGACACAUCACAAUCUUCGUAUAAAAGAAGUUUAACGAACAAAAAUUCGAUAUAUAGAAACUUUGUACGAAGGCACAAUUGCAUUCAUCUUUUCAGAAAGUGUUGGUAUUUUAAGCUUUAUUUUAGAACUCAUUUUACUUAAUGUAAAUAAAUGUAAAAGUUAAAGGCAUGAGAAAUGAUGGCAAUUGUGCGU
This is a long non-coding RNA of Bombus terrestris (buff-tailed bumblebee), 7698 nucleotides long. RefSeq lists it as uncharacterized. The transcript has 4 exons. NCBI's taxonomy places the organism in Eukaryota, Metazoa, Arthropoda, Insecta, Hymenoptera, Apidae. The record is from RefSeq and is a predicted model, not a curated record.